UGCAUUUUUCUCUUCCUUUUUUUAUUUGUGUUUCGGCCGGAUCUUCUGUCAAAAACAGUCGCCAAGAGAAUGGCGUUUCCACUCAAUGAUGUUUGUGAAGGUGGGAUUCUCGACGACGAAAACCAGCUGUGCCAUGACGAGG
Penaeus monodon (black tiger shrimp) is the source of this 142-nucleotide long non-coding RNA. RefSeq lists it as uncharacterized. The transcript has 3 exons. Lineage: Eukaryota; Metazoa; Arthropoda; Malacostraca; Decapoda; Penaeidae. The record is from RefSeq and is a predicted model, not a curated record.